RNAcentral lists this ribosomal RNA (927 nucleotides) under uncultured eukaryote. Its description in RNAcentral is "SSU rRNA". It matches the Rfam family "Eukaryotic small subunit ribosomal RNA", at positions 52 to 990 of the family's 1831-position model. The record is from RNAcentral.
UGCAUGUCUCAGUAUAAGUCUUUACACGACGAAACUGCGAAUGGCUCAUUAAAACAGUUAUAGUUUAUUUGAUGGUCACUCGUUAUUUGGAUAACUGUGGUAAUUCUAGAGCUAAUACAUGCAUAAAGCCCCGACUUUGGGAAGGGGUGUAUUUAUUAGAUACAGAACCAAUCCGCUUGCGGUUUUUGGAUGAUUCAUAAUAAAUGAACGGAGCGCAUGGCUUGUGCCGGCGCUGUUUCAUUCAAGUUUCUGACCUAUCAGCUUCCGACGGUAGGGUAUUGGCCUACCGUGGCAUUGACGGGUAACGGAGAAUUAGGGUUCGAUUCCGGAGAGGGAGCCCGAGAAACGGCUACCACAUCUAAGGAAGGCAGCAGGCGCGCAAAUUACCCAAUCCUGAUACAGGGAGGUAGUGACAAGAAAUAACAAUGAAAGCGGCAUACGCCGUUUUUCUAUUGGAAUGAGUAGAAUUUAGAUCUCUCUUCGACUAACAAUUGGAGGGCAAGUCUGGUGCCAGCAGCCGCGGUAAUUCCAGCUCCAAUAGCGUAUAUUAAAGUUGUUGCGGUUAAAAAGCUCGUAGUUGGAUUUCUGUUGAGGAAGUCCGGUCCGCACUUUGUGCGUGAUCUGGUUCUGCCUCGGCAUCCUCGCGGGGAACGCGCUGCGCUUGAUUGCGUGGUGCGGUAUUCGCGACUUUUACUUUGAGGAAAUUAGAGUGUUCACGGCAGGCUAUCGCCUUGAAUACGUUAGCAUGGAAUAAUAAUAUAGGACCUUGGUUCUAUUUUGUUGGUUUCUAGAACUAAGGUAAUGAUUAAUAGGGAUAAUUGGGGGCAUUUGUAUUAACACGUCAGAGGUGAAAUUCUUGGAUUGUGUUACGACAAACUACUGCGAAAGCAUUUGCCAAGGAUGUUUUCAUUGAUCAAGAACGAAAGU